Molecule: ribosomal RNA, 548 nt
Filed under: uncultured bacterium
Lineage: Bacteria
Description: bacterial SSU rRNA
Rfam family: Bacterial small subunit ribosomal RNA
Source: RNAcentral
UGGGGAAUUUUGGACAAUGGGCGCAAGCCUGAUCCAGCAAUGCCGCGUGCAGGAUGAAGGCCUUCGGGUUGUACACUGCUUUUGUACGGAACGAAACGGCGAGCUCUAAUACAGCUUGCUAAUGACGGUACCGUAAGAAUAAGCACCGGCUAACUACGUGCCAGCAGCCGCGGUAAUACGUAGGGUGCAAGCGUUAAUCGGAAUUACUGGGCGUAAAGCGUGCGCAGGCGGUUAUGUAAGACAGAUGUGAAAUCCCCGGGCUUAACCUGGGAACUGCAUUUGUGACUGCAUAGCUAGAGUACGGUAGAGGGGGAUGGAAUUCCGCGUGUAGCAGUGAAAUGCGUAGAUAUGCGGAGGAACACCGAUGGCGAAGGCAAUCCCCUGGACCUGUACUGACGCUCAUGCACGAAAGCGUGGGGAGCAAACAGGAUUGGAUACCCUGGUAGUCCACGCCCUAAACGAUGUCAACUGGUUGUUGGGUCUUCACUGACUCAGUAACGAAGCUAACGCGUGAAGUUGACCGCCUGGGGAGUACGGCCGCAAGGUUG